AUUGAACGCUGGCGGCAGGCCUAACACAUGCAAGUCGAGCGGAUGAAGGGAGCUUGCUCCUGGAUUCAGCGGCGGACGGUUGAGUAAUGCCUAGGAAUCUGCCUGGUAGUUGGGGAUAACGUCCGGAAACGGGCGCUAAUACCGCAUACGUCCUGAGGGAGAAAGUGGGGGAUCUUCGGACCUCACGCUAUCAGAUGAGCCUAGGUCGGAUUAGCUAGUUGGUGGGGUAAAGGCCUACCAAGGCGACGAUCCGUAACUGGUCUGAGAGGAUGAUCAGUCACACUGGAACUGAGACACGGUCCAGACUCCUACGGGAGGACGCAGUGGGGAAUAUUGGACAAUGGGGGAAAGCCUGAUCCAGCCAUGCCGCGUGUGUGAAGAAGGUCUUCGGAUUGUAAAGCACUUUAAGUUGGGAGGAAGUGCAGUAAGUUAAUACCUUGCUGUUUUGACGUUACCAACAGAAUAAGCACCGGCUAACUUCGUG
This 484-nucleotide ribosomal RNA is filed under the name uncultured bacterium. RNAcentral describes it as "partial 16S ribosomal RNA". It matches the Rfam family "Bacterial small subunit ribosomal RNA", at positions 30 to 507 of the family's 1533-position model. The record is from RNAcentral.